GACGAACGCUGGCGGCGUGCUUAACACAUGCAAGUCGAACGGAAAGGCCCUGCUUUUGUGGGGUGCUCGAGUGGCGAACGGGUGAGUAACACGUGAGUAACCUGCCCUUGACUUUGGGAUAACUUCAGGAAACUGGGGCUAAUACCGGAUAGGAGCUCCUGCUGCAUGGUGGGGGUUGGAAAGUUUCGGCGGUUGGGGAUGGACUCGCGGCUUAUCAGCUUGUUGGUGGGGUAGUGGCUUACCAAGGCUUUGACGGGUAGCCGGCCUGAGAGGGUGACCGGCCACAUUGGGACUGAGAUACGGCCCAGACUCCUACGGGAGGCAGCAGUGGGGAAUAUUGCACAAUGGGCGGAAGCCUGAUGCAGCAACGCCGCGUGCGGGAUGACGGCCUUCGGGUUGUAAACCGCUUUCGCCUGUGACGAAGCGUGAGUGACGGUAAUGGGUAAAGAAGCACCGGCUAGCUACGUG
RNAcentral lists this ribosomal RNA (468 nucleotides) under uncultured bacterium. Its description in RNAcentral is "partial 16S ribosomal RNA". It matches the Rfam family "Bacterial small subunit ribosomal RNA", at positions 28 to 507 of the family's 1533-position model. The record is from RNAcentral.